RNAcentral lists this transfer RNA (76 nucleotides) under Candidatus Cloacimonadota bacterium. RNAcentral's name for it is "tRNA-Lys". It matches the Rfam family "tRNA". Rfam says of the family: Transfer RNA (tRNA) molecules are approximately 80 nucleotides in length. Lineage: Bacteria; Pseudomonadati; Candidatus Cloacimonadota. RNAcentral also lists the same sequence under 1 other name. The record is from RNAcentral.
GCAUCUUUAGCUCAGGUGGCAGAGCAACUGACUCUUAAUCAGUGGGUCCGGGGUUCGAAUCCCCGAAGAUGCACCA